Long non-coding RNA from Sinocyclocheilus rhinocerous, 1108 nucleotides. RefSeq lists it as uncharacterized. The record is from RefSeq and is a predicted model, not a curated record. Lineage: Eukaryota; Metazoa; Chordata; Actinopteri; Cypriniformes; Cyprinidae. The transcript has 4 exons.
CCAUGCCUUAUAGUGACCUUUAGCAGAUUAAAGCUAGGCAAAUAAUAUAGAUUACAUUUUGUGACAAUAUAAACAAUCACAGAGCCUAUGAUGAGUUUUGCAGAUGAGUUUACCUGUUCGGUGUGAUGAUGUUUAAUGUCAUCAACCUCUUUAGUCCCAUUUAGACAGUUGUUAUCAACUGCCUUUUUUAAGACAAGUAUAAAAAAAAAUCACAAGUGAGUAUUACUAAUGUAUUUUAUAAAACGGGAAAAUAUCUUGAGCUUGUGUUAACCACAGAAAAAAGCCCAUUUAAAAACAAACUGAUUCUGGGAUCUAACGUAAAAAACAGAAUCUAAAGUAAAAAAAAAAAGUUAAUCGCUGAUGUUAACAAAUGACCCAUAAUAUCUGUGAGAUGCACAUGUUUGUGUGUGUUGUAGGUGAGCUCUCUGGGUUGGUUGGAGAGGAAAACUGCUGCCACGCUUUAUGAGACUCCUCCCACAUCCUCACUGAAUGAAGCUCUGGAGAACUUCCUCAAGGCAGAGGAGUUAAAUCCAGGCUUCUCCAAAACAGUUCGCCUUUAUAUCGCCAAGUGUCAUAAGGAGCUAGGAAACAUGUCAGAGGCCAGAAAUUGGGUCCAAUUAGCUCUGAGCACACCAGCAGGAGCAAAUGAGGAUUCUGACAGCGCAGCUUUACAGGAGGAGCUGAAGGCUUUGAUUGACAGUACAACUGACCAAUCGAAGCAGUAUGAAUAAUUAGGGUGGGGUCUAAUGCUGUCAUCUAAUCUUUUUACAUUUUACCUGGUAUGUGCUCUAUUUAUUUAAUGUUGUUUGCAGAUGUGCAUUGUUAAAACAUAUUUUCAGUAAUCUCAAAAAAAAAAAAUCGAAAUAUUAUAUAUUAAAAUAGUUUACUAUUGUUCACAUAUCUCCUUCACAAAACACUGCAUUUCAUUCCUUACAAAAGAUGAAGGUAACUUGAUGAUUAAUGAUCAAAAAUCAUUCCUAAUUUUUAUAUUUAAACAUGCUGUGAAAUUAAGCAUUUAUUUGUUUAAUCAAUUACAAAAUGACUGACGUUUGAUUUUGUUUUGACAUGAAGUGAAUUCCUGAAAUAUGACAAUAAAAUGGCACAAUUA